This 460-nucleotide ribosomal RNA is filed under the name uncultured bacterium. Its description in RNAcentral is "partial 16S ribosomal RNA". It matches the Rfam family "Bacterial small subunit ribosomal RNA", at positions 338 to 795 of the family's 1533-position model. The record is from RNAcentral.
CCUACGUGCGGCAGCAGUGAGGAAUAUUGGUCAAUGGGCGCGAGCCUGAACCAGCCAAGUAGCGUGAAGGAUGACUGCCCUACGGGUUGUAAACUUCUUUUAUAAAGGAAUAAAGUGAGGCACGUGUGCCUUUUUGUAUGUACUUUAUGAAUAAGGAUCGGCUAACUCCGUGCCAGCAGCCGCGGUAAUACGGAGGAUCCGAGCGUUAUCCGGAUUUAUUGGGUUUAAAGGGAGCGUAGAUGGGUUGUUAAGUCAGUUGUGAAAGUUUGCGGCUCAACCGUAAAAUUGCAAUUGAUACUGGCAGUCUUGAGUACAGUCGAGGUAGGCGGAAUUCGUGGUGUAGCGGUGAAAUGCUUAGAUAUCACGAAGAACUCCGAUUGCGAAGGCAGCUUACUAAACUGCCACUGACAUUGAUGCUCGAAAGUGUGGGUAUCAAACAGGAUUAGAUACCCUUGUAGUC